UUUGUUGGGCCGGGUUCUGAGGCCUUGCUUCUCUUUACUUUUCCACUCUAGGCCACGAUGCCGCAGUACCAGACCUGGGAGGAGUUCAGCCGCGCUGCCGAGAAGCUUUACCUCGCUGACCCUAUGAAGGCACGUGUGGUUCUCAAAUAUAGGCAUUCUGAUGGGAACUUGUGUGUUAAAGUAACAGAUGAUUUAGUUUGUUUGGUGUAUAAAACAGACCAAGCUCAAGAUGUAAAGAAGAUUGAGAAAUUCCACAGUCAACUAAUGCGACUUAUGGUAGCCAAGGAAGCCCGCAAUGUUACCAUGGAAACUGAGUGAAUGGUUUGAAAUGAAGACUUUGUCGUGUACUUAGGAAGUAAAUAUCUUUUGAAUUAGAGAAAGUGUUGGGACAGAAAGUACUUUAUGUAACUAAAGUACCUGUUAAUAUAAGGGAUUUGUAGUAUCAGCUUGUUGAGCAAUGACUUUGAAUCUAGUUUUCAGUGAUCAGAAGCAGCAUUUAUUUGAGUGUAUGAAUGGAAUGAUGAUCACUGUGCUAUAAUGUACUGAAACCACCAUAUUACAGAAAUAUUUACUACAUAUUUUCCAUCUGUAGUUUCUCAGAAGGGCUAUGGAUUAGUUUGAACUGUCAAAUCCUUGCAUACUUCUGUGACACCCCUGCCCAUUUUCUGUCUUUAAUUAACCAAGGUGUUAGGUGUUACUGUCACAACUGUUAUGUUUUCCAGUAAACUAGAAGUACGAUAUUUGAUAAUUAUAUUUGUAUCCUAAAUUUCACCACCUAAAUGUAAUGUUGAUUCCUCAAGAAUGAAAUGAAGGCACUACAUUGAAAUAUGUUUUGUAUAAAUUUGUCAUGUUGAACAACAUUUUAGCAUGGUAAGUUCCCUUAGCUAUAUGAAUUUUGGCAUGUUUCAGAGAGAUCAGUAAAUAAAAUAUUAGAUAAAAUAUAAAAAAAAAAAAAAAAA
This 959-nucleotide long non-coding RNA is filed under the name Homo sapiens (human). Its description in RNAcentral is "non-protein coding lnc-FGFBP3-2:2". Lineage: Eukaryota; Metazoa; Chordata; Mammalia; Primates; Hominidae. The record is from RNAcentral.